GGGUUUGAUCCUGGCUCAGAAUGAACGUUGGCGGCGUGGAUAAGGCAUGCAAGUCGAGCGGAAAGGCCCCUUCGGGGGUACUCGAGCGGCGUAAGGGAGAGUAAUGCAUGGAUCAUCUACCUCAAGGACUGGGAUAGCUACGGGAAACUGUAGGUAAUACCAGAUAAUGUCGAAAGACCAAAUGGUGCUUCCGCCUUGAGAUGAGUCCAUGUCCUAUUAGCUUGUUGGUGUGGUAAUGGCGCACCAAGGCUUCGAUGGGUACCGGGUGUGAGAGCAUGGCCCGGCUCACUGGGACUGAGACACUGCCCAGACACCUUCGGGUGGCUGCAGUCGAGAAUCUUCGGCAAUGGACGAAAGUCUGACCGAGCGACGCCGCGUGAGGGAUUGAAGGUCCUAUGGAUCGUAAACCUCUUUCGAUUGGGAUGAAAUGUAAGGGUUCACUCUUACUUGACAUAUCUUUGGAAGAAGGACGGGCUAAGUUCGUGCCAGCAGCCGCGGUAAGACGAACCGUCCAAACGUUAUUCGGAAUCACUGGGCUUAAAGGGUGCGUAGGCGGCUUCGUAAGUUGGGUGUGAAAUCCCACGGCUCAACCGUGGAACUGCGCUCAAAACUACGGAGCUAGAGGAAGAUAGAGGCAAGCGGAACUGAUGGUGGAGCGGCGGAAUGCGUUGAUAUCAUCAGGAACACCAGUUGCGAAAGCGGCUUGCUGGGUCUUUUCUGACGCUGAGGCACGAAAGCUAGGGUAGCGAACGGGAUUAGAUACCCCGGUAGUCCUAGCUGUAAACUAUCAGUACUUGGUCGUGGACUACUUCAUAGGUUCUCGGCCGUAGCGAAAGUGUUAAGUACUGCGCCUGGGGAGUAUGGUCGCAAGGCUGAAACUCAAAGGAAUUGACGGGGGCUCACACAAGCGGUGGAGGAUGUGGCUUAAUUCGAGUCUACGCGAAGAACCUUAUCCUAGAUUUGACAUGCAUUGGGAUCCUGGGGAAACUUGGGAGUGCCGCAAGGUAACCAUAGCACAGGUGCUGCAUGGCUGUCGUCAGCUCGUGUCGUGAGAUGUCGGGUUAAGUCCCUUAACGAGCGAAACCCUUAUUGUUAGUUGCCAGCGCGUAAUGGCGGGGACUCUAGCGAGACUGCCGGUGUUAAACCGGAGGAAGGUGGGGAUGACGUCAAGUCCUCAUGGCCUUUAUGUCUAGGGCUGCACACGUCCUACAAUGGCGUACACAAAGGGAAGCGAACCCGCGAGGGCAAGCAAAUCCCAGAAAAUGCGCCUCAGUUCGGAUUGCAGGCUGCAACUCGCCUGCAUGAAGCCGGAAUCGCUAGUAAUCGUAGGUCAGCAUACUACGGUGAAUGUGUUCCUGAGCCUUGUACACACCGCCCGUCAAGCCACGGAAGUAGGAGUCCGCGAAGUCGCCAAGCUAACCUUAGGGAGGCAGGCGCCGAACGGGAACAUAUCGACCGGGACUAAGUCGUAACAAGGUA
RNAcentral lists this ribosomal RNA (1479 nucleotides) under metagenome. Its description in RNAcentral is "bacterial SSU rRNA". It matches the Rfam family "Bacterial small subunit ribosomal RNA". The record is from RNAcentral.